Long non-coding RNA from Petromyzon marinus (sea lamprey), 1016 nucleotides. RefSeq lists it as uncharacterized. The record is from RefSeq and is a predicted model, not a curated record. Lineage: Eukaryota; Metazoa; Chordata; Hyperoartia; Petromyzontiformes; Petromyzontidae.
CACUUGCCAAAACAGGAUGUUUAGGCUAUGGGAGAGAGGGGGGGGGGUUAUUAUUUCCUUUGCUCAAUAGGUGAGGUGGACAAACAAGAUAGGCAAGGUAGGAGGACGUGUAUACGAGGGAAUAAUUACCAGGGGCACUCCGCGUGGGGGAAUGUACGAGCACAGUCGAAGGUGAUUCAUCGAGGAGUGUGUUAAUUUGUGAACGGCGAGCACUGAGAUCAUCAGGACAUCAAUGGUGGUGAGAGAUACGAUGAGGUGUGAGGGAUCGAUGGACGGUGACGUGGCAAUGGGGCCCAGUUGGAGAGUGAAGAACGUGCGCACUCGAGAGCAAAAGCGGCCACCUAGAAGCCAGUGGUGGUGAGCUCAGGUGACGGUGCCUCGCCUAGACUCCCGCGCCUCCGAUUAGCACGGUUGGCUACGUACGGUGCGACAGAAGUCCAGCGUACGGUCCAUUCCUACUUAUGUGCGCACGAGUCACACAACCGUUUGAAACAAAUAACUGGAAGCUCCGGGGCAAGCUCUGUGGGGGGAGGAGGAUGGAGAACGGGGGUUAGAACACGUGAAGGGUUGGUCACUGUGAAGACGCGCUGUGGAGUGAUUCGAGAAGAACGUUGGCAAGAUUGGCUUGCGCACAUCUGGAUGGAAGCUCAGCUUAAAGAGAAGAGAAAGGAAGGCGGGCAGGGGUGUGACCAUCUUCGGAUCCGUGCGUGCGCUCGGGAAACAAACAAAAAAAUGUUGGCGCCGGUGUGGUAAGAACGCAUCGGCCGGGCACGUGGAGCGAAACGUCGGACAUCGUGCCAUCUUGCUGUGGAAAAGAUGGAUCUUACAAUUGCACCCGAUUCAAGAGCCGAAUGGCUCACAGGGCUACAUCUAAUAAAUGAACUUGAACUUGAAAUGAAAAUGCUCUGUUCUCCACGUUCUGGGUCGGGUUUUUGUUUUAUCUAUCCGUUGUGUUCUCGUACCCUUUUAACGAUGUAAUUUUUUUGGGGGGGGGAUUUUAAGGUAUUCAUGUUUGU